Molecule: long non-coding RNA, 2707 nt
Filed under: Equus caballus (horse)
Lineage: Eukaryota; Metazoa; Chordata; Mammalia; Perissodactyla; Equidae
Description: lncRNA (ENSECAG00000048073.1)
Source: RNAcentral
UAGAUAAUGAGAUCAAGAGAACAAGACAGACAGAAGAGAAACAGCCCGAUGUACAUACGGCAUUUAACAUACACUAAAAGUCAAUUCAAAAAGAUGGAAGACGGACAAACCAUUUAAUAAACGAUAGUGUGACAUUGACCAUCCAACUGGAAACACAUAAAAUUAGAUUUCUAACUUGGGAUACCAAAAAAAAAAAAAAUCGUAGAAGAAUUUAAAGACUAAAAAUGAACACAAAAUUAUAAAAGUUUUAGAUGCAACUAUAAAAUAGUUUGAUAAUUUGAGGCAGAUGAGAGCCACCUAAGGAGAUAUAAAACACAGAAGCCAUGACGGGAGUUACUAAAAAAUGUAAUUGCUUAAAUAUUUGUUAUAAUUGCUUGAAGAAAGGCAUCAUUAGCAAAACUAAAACACAAGCAAAGGAUUAGAAGAAAAUGUCUGCAGUAUGUCUAACAUCCCAGAGCUUCCUAGCCAGAGUAGAAGAUUCUGCUACUCUAAGACAUACAAUAAAAAGAACUCAAUUUUCAAAAAUAGGCUAAUACAAAUGGCCGACAAAAACAUGAUAAGAUGUUCAUCCUCAGUAGUAAUAAAUGGAAUGGGAAUUGAAAAAGCAUCAUGAGCUUCCCCCCGGGUUGUAAAACUUGAGUAGAAUAAGGACAUUCAGUACUGGUGAGGGUGUGAAGAAAUGGGUAGGCUCAUACGCUCCGGCAGAAAGUAGAAUUGGCUAUUAAUAAGGUCAGCUUCGUUGAAUUGGCAGCACUUGCUGAAAAUGUUAAAUGUCAUGGCCUUUGGCUGAAUAAUUUCACUUCUACGGAUCUAUCCUAUAGAAAUACGCAUGGACAAGGAUGUUUGCAUAAGGAUAGUUAUUGCAGUAUCUUUUGUAAAAGAAUUUUUUUAAACAACCAACAUAUUUAUAAAUAGGAGGAAAAUUAUACUGUGGUACAUCUUUACUAUGGUAUAGUUUAUAGCUAAUAGAAAGGGUAAGGGAUGUGAAAUGACAUUUUAUUGUUUUUAUCAGUUCCUGUCCUGUAUAAUUUUGUAGGGGCUUAAAAUAAUUUAAAAUGGAUUGAGCAAUUUUUUUAAAAGAGGGCCUUUUAAAUAAAAGGAAGCACAGAGGGAGCAACUGAGUGCAACUCUUCAUUAACGUCAGGUCUCUUCCAACGCGGUGCCAUUUAGUUUCUCUCUUUCUGAUGAACAACCAGCAGGGGCUUGUAGGAAAGAGCUGCUGAGUGACUCUGGACUCUCCUGGUGUCUGAGGUCCCAGGGAGUCUAAAUUGGCAUGCUGAUCUGCAUUCAACUGUUAAGAAUUUGUUAAAAUUUUAGACGUUUUCAUCUAGUGACUGCUUUUAUGGCAGCCACCUACCUACUCCUCCCCAUUCCUGCAAGAGGUGGAACAGAUUGUGUGUUCCCUCUCUCCGUGGAAUAAAGGUUUGCAAUUCUGCUCACCUGGUUGCCUUCAGAUCUUCACACAAGCCUAUGAGGCAAGUCACAAAGUCCUCACCUCCAGUCUCAGGAGUUUAAGAAGGGCAGCUUCAUGGCCUCCCCAGCUCAUAGGUCAGGCGGGCCCUGUUGGAGAGCUAUCAUUUGUAGUGAUUUCAACAGCUCAUUUUCACCAGUAGAGUGAGGAGUCAGACUCACAGACAUGGGAGUCAGACAAAACGUGGACUCUGACUUGCUAUGAAUUUGACUUUGAGCAUCCUCGUCUGUAAAAGAGGGACCAUACUAGCAGUACAGACUACCUCACAGGCUUUUUGUUAGGAUCAACAAGAAAUCCAUGUUAAGAGUUUAACCCUCUGCUUGGAACACUGUAAGUUCCUAAUUAAUAAUUAUUACUUUUCAGAAACUGAUGGUAGAAUACAAAAUCUAAUAGGACACAGCCCCAGAGCUCAUAGAACAGGGCGGGAGAAGGAAGCAUAACCAGAUUCACAGCUAAACUGUACAUUUUGUUGUAAGUGCUAUGAUGGAAGUAUUCAGACCAGAGAAGUGCUUAGCUCAGCUGGGAGGAGGUGAGGUCUGAGCUGUCUUGUAGGAUGAGUUAGGCCAGGGGCUGGGGUGUGGUGAGAGGGCAGGCAGGAGGUAAAAUGGAGGAGGGGACCGUUCGGGGUAGAGGAAGCAGCAGGAGCAGUGGACCCACAUGGUGGCUGGGUAGGUGGGCAAUGGAGUGUACUCUCGGCAUGGAGGGCAGUUCAGGGAGAGGCUACCAGGAGAGGAAGCUGGAGAGCCUUUGAAGGGUUGAAAUUGGGUUAGAUUUUUUAGAUUUUCAUUUGAAAUCAGAUCGAAUUGCUGGGGGAAGAAUGGAUUGAGGUGCCAGGAGAAGGGGCGGGGAGACCAAUAAGGAGGCUGUGGCCGCAUCCUGAUGAGAGAAGGUGAUGCCCAAGCCGGAGCAGUGAGGCGAGGGAUGAUGCCAAAGAGGGGGUGACUUGAUGCAUAGUCAGCAGGUAGACCGGGCAGGACCCGUGGAGUGAGGAGGAGGAGGUGUAGACUGAACCCCAGGCUCCAACACAGAGUGAGAGCAAAGUUGUCAACUUCAUGGAGCCAGAAUGAAAAGGGAUCUCUGCGGUGGGGCAGCCCAGGCAGAUUUAGUCAGCCCUGUGUGAGCUCCCAGAAUUCUUUGCUCAGAAUGUGACACAUCACAUUACAGUGGUUUAAAUGCUUGUCUCCUGGCUGGUGUCCACUCCUCAAAAGUAGCGAUGAUGUCUUAACCUUCACAUCU